UAUAAUAUUAUUAAAAAUAUUUUUUUUGACUAGGCUCGCGAGCCUUUGAACCUAGUAUUGUGCUACUUGGGCUCGACUCAAAAACUAUUCGAGCUACUCCGGCUCGACUCAAGCUCAAUAACAGUCGAGUCGUGUUGAGCUUGGAUCCAAGUCGAGCUUAAGCAACUCGCAAACUGCUCAGCUCAUUUGCAUUCAUAGUUGGUAUAAAAGAUGUUGAUUGUUGUAGUAUUUGUAAGAAAUAUGAUAGGAGUAUCAAAAAAAAAAAACUAAAGUUUCUGUGAUCCAUUGCUGUCUGAUGAGAGAUGUUUCUCUUCUAAGUAGGAAUUGCACAUUUCAGACUCCAAAGUGUCAAAGAACUUCAAGUUGACACAGCCGGAUGCUGUGUGAGAUUGACUUACCCAACAAAAGUACACUCUUGGUCUAGGAACAUGGGUGUUGGCAACGGUAACUUGACAAGGGAAUUUAUGCAACUAAUGUUUGGUCAUAGAGCUAUUUGAUCCAUGACAAUGGAAUAGGAAAUAUAUGGAGAAAAUUGAGUUAUGUUUCUCGGAUCUUAGCAACAUGGCUUUUCAUUUUCCCUCUCUUUCUAGUUUUUAAGAAAUCGGUUUCGAACCCUUAAGUAGAGUUUCUAAAUAUAUUUCAUUCUAUUUCUGUUUUUAAUAACUCAGUGAUGGAGGGCCGUCCAACAAGACAUCUAGGCACAUUUCUGCUAGGCACAAAUAUAAAAAUUAGAAAAUUUUAUUUUAUUUAAAAAUUAAAAAAUUUUAUUUUUAUGUGGACUCUAGGACUAGAAUGUUGUUGACUCUAGAAUUAGAUUUUUAUGAGCACUCCAAUAUUUUAUUUUUAUGCGUAAUUUUAUUAGAGUUUUGAAUUUUGUUUAUAUUAAGACAUUGCUAUAUUAAUUGAGAAUACAUUUAGCAUUAUUGAGAUUUGAGAAUAUAUAAUAUUGAGUUGCCCUCUCCCUCUAACUUCUCCUCCUCUUCUCUUCCCUCCUCUUCUUCUUCUUCCUCUUCCUCUCUCCUCUCCAUUUUGUCCUGUGUCACUCAACUAAGGAAGGAAAAAUCAUAUAAGCAUAUUCCAUUCUACUCAUUUUUUGGUAACCCAUCUAAGCAAGAAAAGAAAAAUAUAUAAGCACGUUUCACUUUAUUACACUUAAAUAACCCUUAUAAGCAAGAACUAAAUUUGAUAAUCAAAGCAUUCAAUAAACAUUAUUAAAUAAUAUUUUUUAAUUCUAUAAAAUAUUAACAAUUAUUGACUUGUUAAACAAAAAAAUAGUAAAUUUCGCAUUAUGCAGUUGUUUCAUGAUUGAUUCAAAAGCUAAUUAAAAGGUCAAGUGGUGGCUAACAAGGUAUAUUAAUUAGUUGACGCAAUCAAGAAGUUCUUUGUUUAUGUAACAAAGCUUAGUAAAUGCUGUCUGGAAAAUAAAUUUGCAUCCAGGUAUUUUGCAGAUGAGCAUGCAUUUAAUUCCACAUACUUAGUGGCGAGUUCUGUGGCUGAUAUGUUAGCAUUCUUUGGUAAUAUUUCCCUUUCUGCCUUCAUAGAAAUGCCUCAUUCCCGACCAUUAAGUAAUUUGAUACAGUUUUUCUCUACUAAUUUAUUCUUAUUUUCCAGUUACAAAACUACAAGGGUAAUUCAACAUAAAACUAUUUGUUAUCACUAAUAGUAUGUUGUCCACUAUGGUGGAGGGUAAUUACUCUAGGAAUAAUCAGUUUUGGGGGGAAAGGGAAGAGUGUUUCUGAUAACAAUGCUUUGAUCUAAAGCAGAACAGAAAUGGUUUCUCUAUUACUUUAUAUAGUAUUUUGAAGCCGAAAUACUGGCACAAUAUGUCCAUGAAAACUUCCUUAAAGGCUAGCAAAUCACAAGAAUCUGAAAUUUGCAGAUUUAAAUUUACAUGUAUACUAGUAAGAAGUUAUUGAUAUGGAUAUAAACAACAAGCUGAAGAAAUCUAGGUUUACAAAUAAAAAGAGGAAAAAUAAAGAAAAGAAGAAAGAGUUAAUUUUGAUUUCUGAUGCAAGAAUGGUCCUUUGAAUCCACAGCUUCCUGCUUCCAAGGCUAACACAUGACCUGCACAUAAGAAUCAGACAAAAUCACUAUGAAAGAAAUUUAAUGGCAAUCUAUGAGACAAAAUAAAUGUUAAAUAUAUUUUUUUCUGAAUUUUCUGUAUAUUUUGGGAUUUCUUUCCCAUUUUAUUUCAUAUUCUAUCUUGUUUUGUACCCAAGGCAUAUAAGAGAUCAUAUGGGAGAGGUGGAUGCUUCAAUACUCAAAAGCUGUCUCCCCUUGGUUCCAUGUUGGCCAGCGGACAAAGGAGAGGCUGCCUUAUAGUUUAGUUUCUCUUUUGGCUCAGACCGUGAUCACACUUGUGGGUUCACUACUCUGCACUCAUAACGCCUAAUGAAUGUUAGGUUGUGCCAUAUAGAAGCACAGUUGCAUCAGGACCUGUGAAGUUGAGAUGACAUAAUUGAAAGUGACCAGUUGUAGGGAGAGGGCAUGUUAUUCCAAAGUCUGCUAUGGACCCAAAAGACAUGAUUUAUUCUGCUGGAAGGAUCGGAAAGGGUUGCAUCACAGCUGUAGAACAGUAGAAGUACUGUUGAAAUGCAGCUAUGGUAGCCUGCCAGAUGGGCUGGUUGGUACAGGGUCUCGUUUUAGCAAGUUUAAAUCAUUUGGUAAUCUAUAAUCUUGGUGCAAAUUAGAAACAAGUUUAGUACUUCAUGGACAGUGACAUGGUAUUUUGGGUCUGACAGCAUAUAUCUACUGGGAUAUUCACAACUGUACAUGUACAUCUAUGAUGCCCUGUUCAGCUAGUGGAUGCAAACUUCAUGCUUUCUUAGCUUGUGGCAAUCGUGGAUCCACUCCCUUCCGAGGUUGAUGGAUUUGCUGAGCUAUCAAUGCUGUACAAUCAGAGGGCUGUUUUUGUUUCUGUUUUUCUUUCUUCCUUCUUCUUCUUGUGUGUGUAUGGGUCUUUUUUUUCUCUCUGUUGUAUAUGCUUUCAUUCUCCUUAUUAACUCUGAAUAUUUAUGUUUGUUACAAUCAGUCAAAUGAUAUGAUAUGAAUUUUUCGGAUUGUUGGA
Phoenix dactylifera (date palm) is the source of this 3067-nucleotide non-coding RNA. Lineage: Eukaryota; Viridiplantae; Streptophyta; Magnoliopsida; Arecales; Arecaceae. The record is from RefSeq and is a predicted model, not a curated record.